RNAcentral lists this ribosomal RNA (253 nucleotides) under uncultured bacterium. RNAcentral describes it as "partial 16S ribosomal RNA". It matches the Rfam family "Bacterial small subunit ribosomal RNA", at positions 524 to 776 of the family's 1533-position model. The record is from RNAcentral.
UACGGGGGGAGCAAGCGUUGUUCGGAAUCACUGGGCGUAAAGGGAGUCUAGGCGGUUUGGUAAGUGGGAUGUGAAAUCCCCGGGCUCAACCCGGGAACUGCGUCCGAUACUGGCAGGCUUGAAUUCGGGAGAGGGAUGUGGAAUUCCAGGUGUAGCGGUGAAAUGCGUAGAUAUCUGGAGGAACACCGGUGGCGAAGGCGGCAUCCUGGACCGAUAUUGACGCUGAGGCGCGAAAGCCAGGGGAGCGAACGGG